UUAACUGAGUUUUGUUGGUAUUGUUUCGGUGGGUGAUUGAGUUUUGUUGAAAUUGCUAUGUUAUUGAUUUUUUUUAAGUAUUGUUUCGGGCACACACUUCUUGAUCAAGUCUAAGGUUUGUCGAAUUAUUUGAUGUUUGCGAUCCAUCUUUUGUCAGAUUGAAGAACGCAAAACCUAUUAGUAAGUUCAUUUACGCUCUGAUUGGAUUGAAGAACGCAAUAAGUAUAUUCAUUUACUCUUCUGUUGGAUUCUUCUGUUGGAUUGAAGAACGCAAGAAUGAUUAGUAAAUUCAUUUACACCAAUUCCGAAUGUGAUUCUUUAUGUGAUGAAGGUGAGUUUUGAAUCUUUUAAUCAAAUUCCUUUAUCCCUUUUCUGCUGGUGGCUGGGUCUUGAGAUUUGUUUUGUCCAUGGAUGAAAUGAAAAACAUAAUAGUUUGGAAAGGCCAAUUGAUCCAAGUCUUCUUAUAGUCUUUAUCUGCAUCUUCAUCUUCGUAACGUUUCUAAACUUCUUCCUUUUAUUAUGAGCUUAGUUCGUUUUCUUGAAUUUUUGCCUGCACAGGAUAGUUCAUUUUCUUGAAUUUUUGGCUGUAGGACAUGAUGUGAAGUAUUAUGUUUUUGGCUGCAGGAUAGCUCUAUUUACUUCUUUUGGGUUGGGGUCUCACGAUUUGUGAUAGGAUAUGGAAGCAGUACUGUAUCUUAUUGUUAACAAUAUUUCUUAAUCUUAGUCCUUGCUGAUUUUGCUCUUUAUUAUUUAAUGUUUUUGGAUUUACCUAACUGUGAACUUGUUUCUCUACAAUAGUAUUUCAAAGUGUUUUUUGUAAUCUUCGUGCCCUUGGUUUUAAAUAUGUGGCUUCCCUUGAUUUUUGGAUUUAUGAAUUUACCUUAUUGUUUCUUUACUUUGUCAUGUCAUCUUUUUUAGAAGAUUAGUUUUCUCAAAUCACCAUGUAUCUUCUUGAGCUUUUACAUGAGCAUCAGGUUUUGGAAACAGUGGAUGGAGAUAGAGUUAAACUUUAGGUUUUAUUAUCUUUGCAUUCAUUAUGCUGAUAAAAAAAAUCUUUGCAUUCAUUAUUUUCUUUGUUAUUGGACUUACUCUGUAGUUUUAUUAUGUUUCCAUCCACUAUUUUUCUUAUGUGCUCGAUUUGGAAUGUCUACAAUCUCUUUUAUUGGUUGGAUAGUUGUAAGGUACCUGUAUUUGUCAUUGUCUAAGCAAGAGCUAUAAACCUCUCUUCAUGAGAGGCAUUAUAAACCUCUAUGUCAGCGAUUUUAUUUCCUCUUUCUAUUCCACACUCAGACAUUUCUCUCAGCAAUGAAGUCAUUUAAUCACAGCCUUUCGUUUCGUUUCCUUUCAUUUCCUUUGUUGUCAAAACAACCUUUGGGUCUUUCUUGCUUCUUGACUAUGGUAUUUAGUUUCACUAUGUUCUCAGGACGUGUUAUUUGGAAGUGAUGUGGUUAUUUAUUCGAGGAUCGAGUUCCAUUCCUUUAGACUUGCAUUUGUUUGUGUUCAUUGCUAUCAAACAACUUUCUUCUUUUUAAGUUUAUAGAGCCCUUUAUUUUUUAAUGAAACCCACUAAAUGUUAUUUAUUUAUUUUUCUUUCUUUUUCAUCAUUUCCUACUUAUUUGUGUUUCUAAUAGGCUUGGGAUGCGUUUUGGGUUUAUAAGAGUAUUAGAGGCACUUGAAUUUGGGGAGGAUUUGUCUUUUACUAUGUGGUUGGUUGUUGAAGCAGUGGCUGUUUUGGGAAUUUUGGUGAUCUUGUACUCCUUACUGAAACGAGACCUCAUCUUAUUGAGUGCUAUAUUUCUCAAUUUUGAGACUCAUUUUAUUGAUUGCUAUAUUUCUCAAUUUUAAUCCCUUGUUGAUCUUGUAUUUUGGGACAGCUAACAUCUUUGCACACUGAAGAUUAAUUUACUCAAUGAUCGAGAAACAAAUUGUAUGUAUUUUAUAUUUAGUGUGCAGUAUAGUGCUAGAACUGUGUGUGAACAGCUCAUGUAACGUACAUGAUCUGGUGAUGUAUCUCUGAUUUUGGGAUCUGUAUUUUUUUCUAUUCAAUUUAUAUUGAGUGUUUAGCGGUUUUCAUGAUACGGUAGUUUUUUCUAUAUGAUAAGUACAUCCAGUUUUAAUUGGAUAUGAUGACAGAGAUCUAUCAUAUGUAACUGUUUAUCUGCUUGUGUUAGUUCCUUUUCAGCAGGAUCCCAGUUGAUGAUUAAAAAACAUAAAGUUCUUGUUUGAUUAUUGAAAUCUAUCCAAUUUAUCUGUUAGAUCUGUGAUUAUGUUGAUUCCUUUCUAGCACAUUAAAGGUUAAUAAUAAUACAAUGCUCAGUGAAGAUGUCUUCCUUUUAUUUGAAACACUUGCCAGGGGAUCUGUGAAGCUUUAGGUUUUGGUACCCUUACAUUUCUUAUAUCUUUAUUUGUGACUGACUAAACUUCUUGAGAAUGAGAAACAACAGUAUUAAAUAUUAAACAACAGUAUUAAAUUAAAAAGGUUUUUCUUACUACAAUUAGUUCUUUCUUCACCACUCCGAUAACUAAUUAAAUAUUUACUUUCAUUAGAAUGUAGAUUAUGUGAAUGAUAUAUUUUAAUGUUGGCUCAUAAAAUAUUUUUAUAGUAAUCAUUAAACAAAUGUUUGGUAUACACUCAUAUUUAUCAUACUUCCUUCAAGUAGAUCUUUAAUAAUUUUUUUUAUCUGAAUGGGUUACUGGAAUUAUUAAUUUUUUUAAAAAAAUAGAAUGAUUUUUCUUUUGUGAUUUUUAAUAGAAGCUUACAUCAGUUAUUAGGGGUCACUGAUAUGUUUUUUCACCCUAUAUUGUCUGGAAAUCUUUUCUAUGUUUUCUAAUUUGAACCAAAGGAUUCCUAAAUCUUUUCCUGAAAAACAUUAUUUUAUGUGCUUUCUUUAUUUAUUUAACCAGUCAUGAUAAAAAGCAAGCAAAGAGUGUAGUGAGCCUGUUUUAACUUUACAGUCAUGCAAUGUUUAUUAGUAGGUUCACAUUCAUAAAUACUUUGAUUUCAGGAAUUCACAAAAUUCAAUUACAAUUCCUAUUUCAGUAAGAUUUUUUUGGUCAAUAAGUUUUUUAACAUCUUUUGUCUUUUAGAAAUUUUUUAAACCAUUUUAUACAUACACUUUAUUAAAUAUAUAGUCCUACAGUGACACUAGUCCUGCUAAAUUAAAGAAAAUUCUAUUUUUGUGUGGAGGGUAAUCCUUAUUCUUAACUUCUUUUAAAAGGACGAAUGUAAAUUGCUGAUAUAUGACUUGUAUGCUUUCACAAUUGAUCUUUGUUUGGAACGAAAUUAUGAAACAACUUACCUUAACCUGCAAUUAAUUUAUAUUUGUUGUGUAACUAUUCACUCCAUAUCCUUCUUGAAGAUAUCUCUUUACUAAAAAUAGUAUAGUUGAUAUAGAGUUAAUUCAUAGUAAAGGUUAACCUUGAUCUCUUUCACCAUAUCAAUUUCAACAUGCAUCCUACCAUUUAAAUUUUCCAAUUUUAUUCUGAAAUUGGUAGGAUAGUGGCCUACCAUGGUGGUGACGGGUGACGAAGAAUUAGGGUUAGAUUCCGGAAAGGGAGCCUGAGAAACGGUACCACAUCCAAGAAAAGCAGCAGACACGCAAAUUGUCCAAUCAUGAUAUGGGGAGGUAGUGACAAUAAAUAACAAUAUCGGUUUCAUUGAGUUUGGUAAUUAGAAUUAGUACAAUCUAACACCCUUAACGAGGAUCGAUAUGAGGGCAAGUCUGGUGCUAGGAGCCACAGUAAUUCCUGCUUCAAUAGCGUAUAGUUAAGUUUUUGUAGUUAAAAAUCUCAUAGUUGGACCUUAUGUAUUUUUUUAAAUGUUUGAACAGUUGGUUUUGUCAUUGCAGGGAGGAGAUGGAUGGGUGGUUCUAGGUUUGGGAAACAUGGAUCAGGACCCUGUGGAAAUUUAGGUUUUAUUCUUUGCAUUUAUUAUUUUCUUUGCUGCUAUUAUUCAGGGAUAAACUUGUGGACUGAGAAUACUUACCUCUUCAUGAGAGGCACUAUAAACCUGUGUCAACGAUUUUAUUUUCUCUUUCUAUUCCACACUCAGAUAUUUUUCUCAGCAACGGAGUCAUUUAAUAACAGUGUUUCGUUUCGUUUCCUUUCAUUUCCUUUGUUGUCAAAACAACCUUUGUGUCUUUCUUACUUCUCGGCUAUGGUAUUUAGUUUCACUACGUUCUCAGGAUGUUUUAUUUGGAAGUGAUGUGGUUAUUUAUUUGUGGAUUGAGUUCCAUUCCUUUAGACUUGCAUUUGUUUGUGUUCAUUGCUAUCAAACAACUUUCUUCUUUUUAAGUUUAUAGAGCCCUUUAUUUUUUAAUGAAACCCACUAAAUGUUAUUUAUUUAUUUUUCUUUCUUUUUCAUCAUUUCCUACUUAUUUGUGUUUCUAAUAGGCUUGGGAUGCGUUUUGGGUUUAUAAGAGUAUUAGAGGCACUUGAAUUUGGGGAGGAUUUGUCUUUUACUAUGUGGUUGGUUGUUGAAUCAGUGGCUGUUUUGGGAAUUUUGGUGAUCUUGUACUCUUUACUGAUACGAGACCUCAUCUUAUUGAUUGCUAUAUUUCUCAAUUUUGAGACCUCAUUUUAUUGAUUGCUAUAUUUCUCAAUUUUAAUCCCAUACUGGUCUUGGAUUUUGGGACAGCUAAUAUCUUUGCACACUGAAGAUUAAUUUACUCGAUGAUCGAGAAACAAAUUGUAUGUAUUUUAUAUUUAUUGUGCAGUAUAGAGUUAGAACUGUGUGGGACAGCUCAUGUAACGAACAUGAUCUGGUGAUGUAUCUCUGAUUUUGGGAUCUGUAUUUUUUUCUAUUAAAUUUAUAGUUUAGCAGUUUUCAAGAUACGGUAGUUUUUAUAUGAUAAGUACAUCCAGUUUUAAUUGGAUACCCUUUAUUAGCAACAGUCCUUUUGGAAUAGGAUUUGUUUCGGCAUAAAUCUGAAAGUUCAACUUGAAACAGCAGCUCAUGAUAGUGUUUUCUCUCUCAACAAAACACUAACCCGACGCUUCAUGUGCAAGGAAUUUGAAGCGGCUAGGUGAGGCACUCAAGGGAUGUGUCUCGCCGGUCACGUGACCUGUUAUGUAAAAUGACUCUCGGCAACAGAUAUCUCAGCCCUUGCAUCAUCAAUGAAGACCGUAGCAAAAUGUGAUACUUAUGUGAAUUGCAAAAUUCCGUGAGCCAGCGAAAUGCGGAUUUGCUUAGCACUACCAUCUGCAUGAAGUUGAAAAUUAAACAAGAACUGCUCAAGAUAACCUAAUUUCUUAUGUGUUGAGCCGGAGUUAAUCACCAUACAUUAAUAUUUGAUUGUGAUUUGUUUGUCUGCAGCAGGGUUUUGUUUAGUUGUGUGAUGACCUGUGUCUUAUCGAGCCUUUUAUGAGCAACUAAGUCUCCACUGGUUUUUGAAUUCCUUAAGUUUAAAUAUAGUUCUUAAAUUUUUUAUGUCUAGGUGUUGAUUCGUUUGUGUUCUUUCCUUUUUAGCAUGUAAGACUGGUUGAGGAUUAAAAUCGCAAGUGUACACGAAAGACAUGCAACAGAUGUGAGGUAAGAUAUCUAAAUACCUGAAGGAGAUCCUUGAUACUUUAGACUGCGUUUUAUGUCUAGUUUCUUUCUUACUUCUCAGCUAUCGUAUUUAGUCUUGGGUUGUGUUAUUUGGAAGUGACGUGGUUAUUCAUUCGAGGAUUGAUUCCAUUCCCUUCUACUUGCAUUUGUUUGUGUUCAUUGCUAUCAAACAACUUUCUUACUUUUCCUACUUAUUUGUGUUUCUCAUAGGCUUGGGAUGCGUUCUGGGUUUAUAAGAGUAUUAGAGGCACUUGAAUUUGGGGAGAAUUUGACUUUUACUGUGGUUGGUUGUAAAAGCAGUGGCUGUCUUGUGAAUUUUGGAUAUGAUCUUAUACUCUUUACUGGUCUGAUCAUCUUAUUGAUUGCUAUAUUUCUCAAUUUUAAUCCCUUAAUGAUCUUCUUCAAUCUGAGAAGCUUGUUAAUUUGGUCUUAUAAUAUAAUUUUUCUGGACUUGAUCACCAAACAUAAAGGUUGCAUUGCCAACCUGUUUCUCUCCAUCAGUACUUGGAAUUGUUUCUUGUAACACCGUUUUGUAAUCUCUUAAGAUAGAUAUUAGUUUUCUUGAUUUAAUUCUCCAAGCUUUCUCUUGUCCUCUACAGGGAGAUAAUGGAUGUGUGUCAUAUGUUUGGGAAACAUGGAAAUCCUGAAACUUUAGAUUUUUUUUAUCUUUUGCAUUCAUUAUUUUUUUUUCUAAUUAUUCUUUGGAUAAUCUUGCAGAGUGGGAUUUCAUGCCUAAUUGUAACAGGCAAAAGAGUUUAAGCAGGAUUCCGGUUGAGGAUUAAAAAACAUAAAUUUGAAUAUAGUUCUUGUUUGAUUAAUGAAAUCUAUCAAAUCUAGCUGUUUGAUCUGUGAUUAUGUUGAUUCCUUUCCAGCACAUUAAAGGUUAAUAAUAAUACAAUGGUCAGUGAAGAUGUCUCCCUUUUAUUUGAAACUUUGUACAUUGAGCAUAUUUUUCGAGACUGAUAUGUGAGGUAGGAUGUUGAAACAGUAGCCAGGGAUCUGUGAAGCUUUAGGUUUUGUUACCCUAAUAUUUGUUAUGUCUUUAUUUGUGAAUGACUAAACUUCUUGUUUGGAUUCUAAGUUUUGGUUGGUUUCACUGCUAACCCUGUAGUGUGACUGGCAACAGGUUUAUAAAAUGUUAACUUCUCUUAAAUCAUUUCUUUCAGCUUUUGGGUCAUGUUUUUUUUUAAAUUCUUAGUGAUUUGAAUUUCUAACAACUUAUAUGAAGUACUGGAUCAAUAGUGAAAAAAAAGAUACGGAAAAAUAUCGUGGCCAUUAAUAGUUUGUGUUUGUUGUCCUGUUUCUCUGUUGUCAGUGAACUCUGCUUCUUUC
RNAcentral lists this long non-coding RNA (6880 nucleotides) under Phaseolus vulgaris (common bean). Its description in RNAcentral is "long non-coding RNA (PVUL_LNC001089)". The stretch from base 3244 to 3767 matches the Rfam family "Eukaryotic small subunit ribosomal RNA", at positions 22 to 605 of the family's 1831-position model. The record is from RNAcentral. Lineage: Eukaryota; Viridiplantae; Streptophyta; Magnoliopsida; Fabales; Fabaceae.